AUAAUCCACACAAUCUUUCAAAUAAGGAUCCUUUCCACAAAAUCAGGAAGAGAUAUUCUCACCUUCCACCUCUCAAUUCCAGCUCACCAUAAUCACUCACAAUUUCUCUCCAUCACACGCUUGAUUAACCAAAAUCAGAAAAUAUCUAAAGUCACACGAUUUCCAUCAUACCUUCACAUGCUUGAUCCUUUUCUUACACACGUAUUUCACCAAUCCAAACCCCCACUAAUUCCCCUAUAAAACAGUGCCUCUCCUUCACUCAUUUUGAUGAACAAAAAAACACUAAAACUCUGCAGAAUUCAAAACUGACCCCUCACUCAAAGCUCAUACUCUAAGAAAGGCUCUCUAAACUUCAUAUUGAAGUUUGAUUAGGGCUGAGCUAAGACCCCUCAUUUCAUAAAAAAAGUCAAUAUUUAAACACAUAACAUUCAGAAGAGAGUAGAAGAAGGAGUCAAGGCGAGCAGGAAAUAAAGAAGAACGAGGAUAUAAAGAAUUUACGUACCUGAGGUAUUUCUUGCACCAGAGUUUCUCGCCGGAUUUUAAGUCUUCGACAAGGGAACAAUAGGAGCCAACACUCCAGUUAAAAUGGGUCUUAGACCAGUACUUUGGAUAUGAAGCCUGACAGUACUAAGGAGAAUCAUUGGUAAUAUAGCAAAAAGCAGAAUAAGUUACGGAGGUGAGGUGUUUCACCAAGAGAAAGCGUCUCAAGAAAUCAUCCUCGUCCAGAGUAAAUGAGCCAAACCAAGGGAGUACCGAGUGAAGCUGAAGAAGCCCCUAAUUGAAAAAGGUAUAUGGGGAUGUGCACCUCAAAUGGAAAAGAUAAAAAAUAAAAAAAGUUAAGAGAGGGCUUCCAAGAUUUGUAUUUGGUACACAGUUGCAAAACCCCUAUAGAUUCUCAGGACCCUAGAUGAACCUGUGAAGAAAUGGAGGUUGUGGUAUUCCAAACAUGUAGAUGUGAUGCUUUACAAGAUCAUCCCACAACUUGAUUUUCAGCUUGAACAGCAUGAAGGGAAGAUGUAUAAAAUUUUGAGGUGGAGGUACUGAUUACUAAAUUCAAUAGUUCAAUGUUAUAGCUCUCGCUCUUCUAUAUUUUGGAUUUUGCACUUCUUUGUCUUUCCUAGUUUAAGAAUUGACUGGAUUAUAUAUGUUAAUCUGGUUGAACCUAGUGAUAAGCCUAAUAACUACUUUGUAUAUAUACAAAAAUUUGCACCUAGUAAAAAAAUUUAGUUGCAGUUUUGAUGUGGAUUAGUUUUCAUAUUUGUCAUAGCAUAGGACGGAAAAUUAUCAAGCAAAAUAUUUUCUAACUAAUCUGCAAAUAAUAAUAAAACGCAAAAAAAUAUUGUUCAAAACUUUUAUGUUUCCUAACUAUAUGGCUUCAGAUGUUGCUGCAACAAUUUCACAGUAAAACUACAAGAUGCACUAAUAUUUCUACACUAACCAAUGGCACAUUGCUUUAAAAAUUCAGAGGCAGUACCUGCAGUUCUUCCCUUUAAGUAGCCUACAAAUAAAAUAAAAUAAAUUGUACUUAGCAGUCAUUAUAAAAUGAAAUUGAGCAAAAAUAUUCGAUGGACUUUGUAGAAAGGUCAAAAACCAUAAUGCAAAAUCUUUUCAUCAUAGCAUUUUCAUUGUUUCAACUUUUCGCAUCUGGCGACGAUCUAGUUACAUUGUUGGCAUAACAUGAAACUCUAGACUUGAAAAAUAAUGUGCAGGAAUAGUUUCACUAUGGGCUUGGUCAUGUUUACCAUUAUGGCUUGUGUUCUAAUUUACCAUUCAGAAUUUGCACUUGAAACUCUCACAUUGGCUUCCUCUUCCGCCUUCAUGAGCUUGUGUUGGUAAGCUGAUAGUACUCCUCAACCAAAAGUAUCACAUCAUUCAAUGAAUCCACCUCGUUGCUAUUGUUGCUUCUAGCCGAUUUGCUCUCUUGCAUUGCUUUAAUGGCUGUAUUACUAACCUUUCAGAAGCCACUUAGCUGCUCUCAAAAUACAAAAGUAGUAAAUUAAAAACAGUAGUUUCCUCAUUUCUAAUAGAACUCACAUUUUCUAAUACUUCCAAUCUCUCUAAAAUUUAUAGCAAAUGAAACAAGUAUCUAUCUAUAUGUCAAUCAUCCCAGAGUUUGAUUAUCCAGUAAAAUAUAUCCUCACACAAAGGACAUAAUACAAAUGAAACAAGCAUCUCAUUAUAAAUCAUUAUAAUAUAAAUGACAAAUAAACUUACCUACAGAUGACAAGAGCAAAUCGUUCUAAAACUAGAUACACAUAAAUUACAUUUUGCUUGCGGUUCAAUUAAACUAGAGGCUGUUUUACUUAUACACAUAUGAAUUAAAAGCAUUAUUGAAUACUUAUACACAUAUGAAUUAAAAGCAUUAUUGAAUAAAGCUUUUAACUCAUACACAUAUGAAUUGAAGGCAGUUAUUCAAUAAAGCUUUUAGUUGUAGCUUUUAAAUGUAGUUGAAUUUUACCUGAUCCAUUCAAUAAAAUUAUAAUUGAUUUUUGUAUUUAAGCUUUAGAGAAAUGUCAGUUUAAGGAUAUAAUCCGCAUCUACCAAGUCUCUUGGACUCUAGGAAGCCCUGAUACUCCAAAAUAGUCAAGUAUCGGUGUCUGACGCAUAUCCGACGCCAAUGUAUGGCUUGAUACGUACCACAAGCUUACUCUUAUUGUAAAUAUUUAGCAACAAUCUAAUCUAUUGCCCGCAACUUACUCUUUCAACUAUAAGAAAACAAUAUAAAUAUAAUCAUUGACGCUACACCUUCUCCCGUCUAUUUUUCAGUAUGUGAUAAUGCAACCAACAAAAAUAAGCUAUGAAAGUCUAAUUCUGAUAAAGUAACGUUUUUAUUUUAUUCUGCAGAAAUAAAAUUUAUAGGAAGAGGUGCAGAAAAAUAAAGUGCUAGAGUGCAUUCAGCUGAUAAGCACCAAAAACUAAGCUAUAUUGAUUCUAUUUCUAGCACACAUUUUCAGAACUGUUAAAACAAAACAAUUUGAAUCAUUAUAACAGAGUCUGUGAAAUUAGUGGUCUCAACUUUGUGCCUUAAUACUACUUAAGAUUACAUGCACAAUAGAAAAUUUUGUGUUUUUCCAGCAGAUUCAUUCUAUUGGAAAACAUACUACUCUCAUAAAUAACUAUGUGCAAUCACAUAUGAACAGAAAGGAACAUAAAGAGCAGCCAUCCAAAAGGCAUAACUCGAGCUU
This is a long non-coding RNA of Lathyrus oleraceus (garden pea), 3185 nucleotides long. RefSeq lists it as uncharacterized. Lineage: Eukaryota; Viridiplantae; Streptophyta; Magnoliopsida; Fabales; Fabaceae. The transcript is spliced from 2 exons. The record is from RefSeq and is a predicted model, not a curated record.